RNAcentral lists this small nucleolar RNA (130 nucleotides) under Sorex araneus (European shrew). RNAcentral's name for it is "Small nucleolar RNA SNORA20 (ENSSARG00000016634.1)". It matches the Rfam family "Small nucleolar RNA SNORA20". Rfam says of the family: ACA20 is a member of the H/ACA class of snoRNA that guide the sites of modification of uridines to pseudouridines. Lineage: Eukaryota; Metazoa; Chordata; Mammalia; Eulipotyphla; Soricidae. The record is from RNAcentral.
CUUCCCAUUGAUUUGCUGCUCUGCUCUGGCAGUGAUCUGAGCAGUUAUACGCGUGGGAUAUAGUGACAGGAGACUUUUGUAAAUGGGGGUGCAGUGUCUGUUCCAUCCCCGGUGCAUGGUCUCGACAUUG